RNAcentral lists this unclassified non-coding RNA (202 nucleotides) under plant metagenome. RNAcentral describes it as "partial contains small subunit ribosomal RNA and internal transcribed spacer 1". The stretch from base 1 to 46 matches the Rfam family "Eukaryotic small subunit ribosomal RNA", at positions 1786 to 1831 of the family's 1831-position model. The record is from RNAcentral.
AAGUCGUAACAAGGUCUCCGUAGGUGAACCUGCGGAGGGAUCAUUACAAGUUGACCCCGGCCCUCGGGCCGGGAUGUUCACAACCCUUUGUUGUCCGACUCUGUUGCCUCCGGGGCGACCCUGCCUCCGGGCGGGGCCCCGGGUGGACAUUUCAACUCUUGCGUAACUUUGCAGUCUGAGUAAAUUUAAUUAAUAAAUUAAA